CAUGUGCACGCUCUGUUUACACAUCCACCCACACCUGUGCACCCUCUGUAGUUCUGUGGCUUGGGGGCUCUGUCCUCUUGCUGUGGCUCUACGUCUUUACACACACACUGUGACAAAGUCUCAUGGAAUGUAUGUCUGCGUUUAACGCAAUGAAAUACAACUUUCANCAACGGAUCUCUUGGCUCUCGCAUCGAUGAAAAACGCANCGAAAUGCGAUAAGUAAUGUGAAUUGCANAAUUCANUGAAUCAUCNAAUCUUUGAACGCACCUUGCGCCCUUUGNCUAUUCCGAAAGGCAUGCCUGUUUGAGUAUCAUGAACACCUCAACUCUCAUGGCUUGCCAUGAUGAGCUUGUGACCUUGGGGGUCUUGCUGGCACGUGCGGGUCACCUCCUCUCAAAUGAAUCACCUUGCCGGUGUUUGGUGGCGUCACAGGUGUGAUAAAUAUCUAUGCUUGUGGCUUUCCACC
This 466-nucleotide ribosomal RNA is filed under the name uncultured Tomentella. RNAcentral's name for it is "eukaryotic LSU rRNA". The stretch from base 159 to 313 matches the Rfam family "5.8S ribosomal RNA". The record is from RNAcentral. Lineage: Eukaryota; Fungi; Basidiomycota; Agaricomycetes; Thelephorales; Thelephoraceae.